RNAcentral lists this ribosomal RNA (440 nucleotides) under uncultured bacterium. Its description in RNAcentral is "partial 16S ribosomal RNA". It matches the Rfam family "Bacterial small subunit ribosomal RNA", at positions 338 to 795 of the family's 1533-position model. The record is from RNAcentral.
CCUACGGGAGGCAGCAGUGGGGAAUCUUGCACAAUGGGGGAAACCCUGAUGCAGCGACGCCGCGUGAGUGAAGAAGUACUUCGUUAUGUAAAGCUCUAUCAGCAGGGAAGAAAAUGACGGUACCUGAGUAAGAAUCCCCGGCUAACUACGUGCCAGGCGACGCGGUGAUACGUAGGGGGCCAGAGUUAUUCAGAUUUACUUGGUGGAAAGGGUUCGUAGACGGCAGUGCAUGUCUGGAGUGAAAGGCGGGGGCUCAACCCCCGGACUGCUCUGGAAACUGUACGGCUGGAGUGCAGGAGAGGUAAGUGGAAUUCCUAGUGUAGCGGUGAAAUGCGUAGAUAUUAGGAGGAACACCAGUGGCGAAGGCGGCUUACUGGACUGUAACUGACGUUGAGGCUCGAAAGCGUGGGGAGCAAACAGGAUUAGAUACCCUAGUAGUC